Molecule: long non-coding RNA, 238 nt
Filed under: Elaeis guineensis (African oil palm)
Lineage: Eukaryota; Viridiplantae; Streptophyta; Magnoliopsida; Arecales; Arecaceae
Description: long non-coding RNA (EGUI_LNC024264)
Source: RNAcentral
GGGCCACCAUAAGAUAUCCUUUCCUUCAAUCUCUAUGACGAUUUGGGCAUGCAGGGCAGAGAGAGGGGUGUAGUCAUUGAAGCAACAUGGAGAGCUCUUCACCUUCCUCUAUUUUUGGGGGCAACUUUCUUUUAAGGCUCCAUGAUUAUCUUCAUGGGGCCUCUUGCUAUCGCUGUUCUUUCUCCCUUCAUGCCAAAGUACCUCUUCCUCUUCGAUCUGCAUAUAUUUUCAUGCCUGG